GACGAACGCUGGCGGCGUGCUUAACACAUGCAAGUCGAACGGAAAGGCCCUGCUUUUGUGGGUUGCUCGAGUGGGGAACGGGUGAGUAACACGUGAGUAACCUGCCCUUGACUUUGGGAUAACUUCAGGAAACUGGGGCUAAUACCGGAUAGGAGCUCCUGCUGCAUGGUGUGGGUUGGAAAGUUUCGGCGGUGGGGGAUGGACUCGCGGCUUAUCAGCUUGUUUGUGGGGUAGUGGCUUACCAAGGCUUUGACGGGUAGGCGGCCUGAGAGGGUUACCGGCCACCUUGGGACUGAGAUACGGCCCAGACUCCUACGGGCGGCAGCAGUGGGGAAUAUUGCACAAUGGGCGGAAGCCUGAUGCAGCAACGCCGCGUGCGGGAUGACGGCCUUCGGGUUGUAAACCGCUUUCGCCUGUGACGAAGCGUGAGUGACGGUAAUGGGUAAAGAAGCACCGGCUAACUACGUG
Molecule: ribosomal RNA, 468 nt
Filed under: uncultured bacterium
Lineage: Bacteria
Description: partial 16S ribosomal RNA
Rfam family: Bacterial small subunit ribosomal RNA
Source: RNAcentral